This 464-nucleotide ribosomal RNA is filed under the name uncultured Pirellula sp. RNAcentral describes it as "bacterial SSU rRNA". It matches the Rfam family "Bacterial small subunit ribosomal RNA", at positions 8 to 487 of the family's 1533-position model. Lineage: Bacteria; Pseudomonadati; Planctomycetota; Planctomycetia; Pirellulales; Pirellulaceae. The record is from RNAcentral.
AGAGUUUGAUCAUGGCUCAGAAUGAACGUUGGCGGCGUGGAUUAGGCAUGCAAGUCGAACGCUCUUAUGUAGCAAUACAUGAGAGAGUGGCGUAAGGGAGAGUAAUCCAUGGUUAGCUGCCCCCGGGUCUGGGAUAGCGGCGGGAAACUGCCGGUAAUACCAGAUGACAUCUUCGGAUCAAAGGUGUAAUUCCGCCCGGGGAGGCGACCGUGUCCUAUCAGCUAGUUGGCGGUGUAACGGACCACCAAGGCUAAGACGGGUAUGGGGCGUGAGAGCGUGCCCCCACUCACUGGGACUGAGACACUGCCCAGACACCUACGGGUGGCUGCAGUCGAGAAUCUUCGGCAAUGGGCGCAAGCCUGACCGAGCGACGCCGCGUGCGGGAUGAAGGCCUUCGGGUUGUAAACCGCUGUCGUAGGGGAGGAAGCAACCGUGUAGAACGGAAGUGACCGAUCCUAGAGAAG